GAACAAAUGAUGAUUCAUAUGAUUAUUCUGUUAACUUUGUUGUUUCAAAAUUGAUCUUUUUAAACCUGAUGCCCA
This is a non-coding RNA of Hordeum vulgare subsp. vulgare (domesticated barley), 75 nucleotides long. The record is from Rfam. Lineage: Eukaryota; Viridiplantae; Streptophyta; Magnoliopsida; Poales; Poaceae.